CUGUAGCUCAGUUGGUUAGAGCGCGCCCCUGAUAAGGGCGAGGUCACUGGUUCAAAUCCAGUCAGGCCCCACCA
This 74-nucleotide transfer RNA is filed under the name uncultured Pseudoalteromonas sp. RNAcentral's name for it is "tRNA-Ile". It matches the Rfam family "tRNA". Rfam says of the family: Transfer RNA (tRNA) molecules are approximately 80 nucleotides in length. Their secondary structure includes four short double-helical elements and three loops (D, anti-codon, and T loops). Lineage: Bacteria; Pseudomonadati; Pseudomonadota; Gammaproteobacteria; Alteromonadales; Pseudoalteromonadaceae. The record is from RNAcentral.